AGACUGAUGGUGCUGCAGCAUCCGUUUGGCUCAACUGGAGCUGGAUCAGAGACGAGUCCACCACAAGACCUGUCACCUUGAACAUCAGAGAGACAGGCUGAAGAGAGACAGACGGGCACUGAGGGACACACUGAGACGGGUGGAGGCGGAGCGUUCAAGGUUCAGACAGCAGCUAACUGACAGCACCAGAUCUCAGGAGUCUGCAGACGCCACAGAAGAGCACCUGAGGGAAAGAGUCGGUGAGCUGGAGGAGCAGGUCAGCCGGCUACGUCUGUUAUUGGCUGCCGACCAGCAGCAGAGGGCGGAGUUCAUCCAGCGGUCGUCCAGGAACAGCCAACAGCUGCUCUCUCUCAGACACGACCUCAGGGAUUCACUGGACGCUGUCACACGUCGUCCAAUCCCAUCCGUCCUGGUGUCUGAGACGCAGCGAUUGGACCGCAGCCUCAGGGAGGAGGAGCUUAGGUUGUCCCUUAGCCAAUCGUAACCCCUGAAUACUAAAAACACUAUUGGGGACCAAAUGAACAGAACUGUGAGACCUGAUAUACAUGGAAUAUAUACAUCAACGGUUUUACUGUAGUUUUAUACAGAGUACAAAGUUCUCUUUACUCUGCGUUUAUAUUUGAGCCCGAUUUUAGGUCAAUGAGUUUAUUAUUGUUUUGUAUUUAUAUUCUGUUUUGACUACGUUUCCUAUGAUCCUCUAACCUGGCUCAUGUGAAGGUCAAAGGUCAACUGUGGGUUUUUGUGAAGCUCAAUAAAAACCAAGGCUUUGAUAAGA
Gasterosteus aculeatus aculeatus (three-spined stickleback) is the source of this 775-nucleotide non-coding RNA. The record is from RefSeq and is a predicted model, not a curated record. Lineage: Eukaryota; Metazoa; Chordata; Actinopteri; Perciformes; Gasterosteidae.